RNAcentral lists this ribosomal RNA (454 nucleotides) under Chromobacterium violaceum. Its description in RNAcentral is "bacterial SSU rRNA". It matches the Rfam family "Bacterial small subunit ribosomal RNA", at positions 341 to 787 of the family's 1533-position model. The record is from RNAcentral. Lineage: Bacteria; Pseudomonadati; Pseudomonadota; Betaproteobacteria; Neisseriales; Chromobacteriaceae.
ACGGGAGGCAGCAGUGGGGAAUUUUGGACAAUGGGCGCAAGCCUGAUCCAGCCAUGCCGCGUGUCUGAAGAAGGCCUUCGGGUUGUAAAGGACUUUUGUCCGGGAGCAAAUCCUAGUGGUUAAUAACCGCUGGGUCUGAGAGUACCGGAAGAAUAAGCACCGGCUAACUACGUGCCAGCAGCCGCGGUAAUACGUAGGGUGCAAGCGUUAAUCGGAAUUACUGGGCGUAAAGCGUGCGCAGGCGGUUGUGCAAGUCUGAUGUGAAAGCCCCGGGCUUAACCUGGGAACGGCAUUGGAGACUGCACGACUAGAGUGCGUCAGAGGGGGGUAGAAUUCCGCGUGUAGCAGUGAAAUGCGUAGAGAUGCGGAGGAAUACCGAUGGCGAAGGCAGCCCCCUGGGAUGACACUGACGCUCAUGCACGAAAGCGUGGGGAGCAAACAGGAUUAGAUACCC